UACAACUUUCAGCAACGGAUCUCUUGGCUCUCCCAUCGAUGAAGAACGCAGCGAAAUGCGAUAAGUAAUGUGAAUUGCAGAAUUCAGUGAAUCAUCGAAUCUUUGAACGCACCUUGCGCCCUUUGGUAUUCCGAAGGGCAUGCCUGUUUGAGUGUCAUUAAAUUC
RNAcentral lists this ribosomal RNA (165 nucleotides) under Mycetinis alliaceus. RNAcentral describes it as "5.8S ribosomal RNA". It matches the Rfam family "5.8S ribosomal RNA". From Rfam's summary of the family: 5.8S ribosomal RNA (5.8S rRNA) is a component of the large subunit of the eukaryotic ribosome. It is transcribed by RNA polymerase I as part of the 45S precursor that also contains 18S and 28S rRNA. Functionally, it is thought that 5.8S rRNA may be involved in ribosome translocation. Lineage: Eukaryota; Fungi; Basidiomycota; Agaricomycetes; Agaricales; Omphalotaceae. The record is from RNAcentral.